Juglans microcarpa x Juglans regia is the source of this 644-nucleotide long non-coding RNA. RefSeq lists it as uncharacterized. The transcript has 2 exons. The record is from RefSeq and is a predicted model, not a curated record. NCBI's taxonomy places the organism in Eukaryota, Viridiplantae, Streptophyta, Magnoliopsida, Fagales, Juglandaceae.
UCUUACUUUCUCAAUCCCGUAAAGCCCAAACCCAUUUUUGGGUUCAAAGCCCCUAAACCGUGCCUCCUCCCUUCGACCGUUGUUGCACACUUUGCCGGUCAGCUUCUCCCUCUCUACCCGUCUCUCACUUUCUCUCCUUUCCCUCUCUAUUUUUGUCACUAUCUGUAUCUCUCAUUCUCUCGUGACUGCCCCUCCGCCACCCAGGCCAUCAACCACCUCCAUCAUUGGAAAACACAUUCCCAGCCACUCAAGUACCCCACUUUCCCUCCCCCAAACCCCGAAUCCCCCCAAGUCUUCCAACCCUCAAUCAGGCCACGCAUUGAGAAUGACAAAUCAUUGAGUAGUCGACAUGAAGCUCAGAACGCUGGCGAUCAUCUACAAAUUUCUUCCCAUCGCACGGUGACUUUGAUAUAGAUAGAGAAUUUGGUAGUAGUUAUGGGCAUGGGAUCCGACAUAGCCAGAGGAUUGAGGAUUGAGGCUUUUCCCUACUUUGUUAAUUUAUUUUGUUUGAUUUACCAGGUGACUGUAAACAUUCCUUCGCUUAUGGUUUGGAGACAUGUGGCUUAUGGUUAUUAUAGUUGUGAUGCAUUUUAAUUUUCUAGUACUUUUAUUUAGAUUUAAUGACUACCUUUUUUUUUUUUUUU